UGGGGAAUAUUGCACAAUGGGCGCAAGCCUGAUGCAGCGACGCCGCGUGGGGGAUGAAGGCCUUCGGGUUGUAAACCUCUUUCGACAGGGAAGAAGCUUUGGUGACGGUACCUGUAGAAGAAGCACCGGCUAACUACGUGCCAGCAGCCGCGGUAAUACGUAGGGUGCGAGCGUUGUCCGGAAUUAUUGGGCGUAAAGAGCUUGUAGGCGGUUUGUCGCGUCUGCUGUGAAAAUUCGGGGCUUAACUCCGGACGUGCAGUGGGUACGGGCAGACUGGAGUGUGGUAGGGGAGACUGGAAUUCCUGGUGUAGCGGUGAAAUGCGCAGAUAUCAGGAGGAACACCGAUGGCGAAGGCAGGUCUCUGGGCCACUACUGACGCUGAGAAGCGAAAGCAUGGGGA
This 400-nucleotide ribosomal RNA is filed under the name uncultured bacterium. RNAcentral's name for it is "bacterial SSU rRNA". It matches the Rfam family "Bacterial small subunit ribosomal RNA", at positions 355 to 767 of the family's 1533-position model. The record is from RNAcentral.